Molecule: RNA transcript, 1294 nt
Organism: Apis florea (little honeybee)
Lineage: Eukaryota; Metazoa; Arthropoda; Insecta; Hymenoptera; Apidae
Source: RefSeq, a predicted model, not a curated record
UGCAGUUUGGUCAUGUAUUGACGUAUGUAUUCGAAUACGUAUUAUCACUUUAUUUCGAAUUUACUUACAAUGUUUUUUAAUGUAAUUGAAAUUUUUAAUCAUAUAAAAUAAAAAUAUAUUUUUAAAAAAAUUAAAUUUUUUAUAAAUAAUGAAUGUCAGAAAUGUUAUGAUGCGAUGCAUCGAUUUAAAAUGUACAAGCAAUGGAAUUUGAAUUAGAAACAUCUGCAAGCUCAUUGUGAAUACAUUUAUGACACUUAUUAAGGAAGGUUUUAUAUAAUUGAUUUUCAAAAAAGUUUGUAGCAAUGGGUCUUUAAAACGACACGAAUAGAGCAUGCAUUUCUGGAUUAAUAAACCGGCGGGCAGAUAUUACGGUUUCACUGGCCGCCGAUGCCCCGCCACACCUUUACCAAAAACACACUUUAAUCAAUGUAGAUACAAUGCAGAUAUGAGACAAAUGUUUACACCACUUCAUCGAUUUCAAAAUUUGAAUACUAUGGGAAAUAUAGCUGGUCCUAGUAACAUAAAUAGUUGCAGAAUGCUAAGAACAACAAUAAGAACAAAUAACGAAAAUCAAAACAAUUUUCCAGUUGGCUCUACUCAACAUCCUCAGCUGAACAACAUCUCCAAUAAUGUAACAACUGCAGGAAAUAAUCAAUUAAUAUUAUCAAAUACUACGUCAAAUGGAACAAAUAGAAGUCUUUUAGAUUUUUCGGAAUUUAAUGAUGCAGAACUUGCAAGUUAUAGAUUACGAUGUGGUGUUUGGAUAACAUUUGUACUUGCAGCAGGUUUUGUUGCUGCUGCAAAAUUUUACUUUGGAGACAAGGGUCAAGGUAUAGAAAUAUUUGUAUUUUGGGGACUAUUAACAUUAUCAUUAUUUGCGUGUUUAUAUUCUAUUUUAUAUUGCCGAAAUCAACAUAACAGUCAUGAAGAGCAUCAAAUUCAAGAAGAACACAUUGCAUCUACAACUACAAUGUCCAAUGAAAAUAUUAGACCUAUUUCUGUAGUGAGACAGAAUCCACCACCACCUUAUCAUAUUGCUAUUUUGAUUCCACCAAAUAAUUCAUCGGAUGAAGCACCACCACCAUCUUAUGACAAAGUUAUGCGAUAAAGUAAUAUAAAGUUGUAUAAAAUUCUAUCACUAUUUUUUCAUAUAUUACAUUUUGUAAACAUAAAUUGAUGCUCAUAAAAAGUUCGUCUCUAAUUAUAUUAGAUAGGUAAACUUUUACAUCUGUGAUACAAAUAUUAAUAUAAUAUCUUGAUAACAUCAAUUCAAAUAAAAUAGUAGAAUUAUUAU